AGCAAAUUAAAUUAGUAAGAAAGAAAGAAAGAUUCACGCGUAUGCUCUUUUGUCCUAGCUGUCUUCACUUGCAUUAGAAAUGAUCGCAACAAUUCCUCUUGAAAUUUAGCCUGGAAAAUGUACACUGCAUAGAUCUAAUAUUCCUUUAAGUUCAGGCACACGUGGCUCUGGAUUUUUAUAAUACUGGAUAUUCUGCAGCUUUUUCAUCUCAAGAGGAUUUCCAAGUCUCACAGUCUACAACUGAAACAUUCUUUUGAAAGUAUUAAUUUUUUUUCAUGGAAUAAGAGUAAAUUCUGUCAUGAUGAUGUCUCUGAAAUAUGAAUUUCAACAUGUUAACACUACAAGAAAAAAAAAAACCUGUGGAGCAGUUCUAUGUUGAAGUGGUCCUAAGUGUGUGAGUCAUCAAUAGAAUAUUCUUGUUCAGUGUUCUGGGAUAAAUGCUUUGUAAAAAGCAAUGCUAGGACUGUCUGCAUAUGCAGUACUCGUUAGCUACUGCUCUAAUGCAGACUUCUUCAGAGUCUCUGUAUGGGUUUUAGGCAGGCAGUCCAAUCAGCAAAUAACAACUCAGAGCAAAUUUCUGAAAGCAGUGAAGAAUUAAACAGCACUAUUUUCAGUGCUAUGACAAACGAAAGGCAUCAUUUUAG
This 644-nucleotide long non-coding RNA is filed under the name Bos taurus (domestic cattle). RNAcentral describes it as "long non-coding RNA NONBTAT015326". Lineage: Eukaryota; Metazoa; Chordata; Mammalia; Artiodactyla; Bovidae. The record is from RNAcentral.